AUGAUAGGUAUCUUUUGGAACUGUAGGGGGGCAGGAAAGAAAGGCAUGUCUUCCUGUCUCACGGAUAUCAUUAGUGCUAAUGGUGUUGAUUUCAUUGGUCUUCAAGAGACCAUGAAGAAAAAUUAUAAAACGAAGCUUGACCCUAUGUCUAAUUUCCACUGGGAAUGGAUCCCUUCUAUUGGGAAGUCUGGAGGAAUCCUAUGUGGUUUGAGAGCAGAGAAGUUUGAUGUUAUUGACACUGUUUGUGGCAAGUACAUUUUGCAAAUUAACCUUUUUGACAAAAUUAAGAAGUGCAAGUGGGCUCUACUGGUCGUUUAUGGAGCUGCACAUGAUGAUAGGAAACCUGAGUUUUUGGCUGAGUUGUCCUCGUUUUGUAAUAAAAUUGACAUUCCAUAUCUGGUUGGGAGAUUUUAA
This 414-nucleotide ribosomal RNA is filed under the name Triticum aestivum (bread wheat). Its description in RNAcentral is "partial small subunit ribosomal RNA". Lineage: Eukaryota; Viridiplantae; Streptophyta; Magnoliopsida; Poales; Poaceae. The record is from RNAcentral.